This 6383-nucleotide long non-coding RNA is filed under the name Olea europaea subsp. europaea. The record is from RNAcentral. Lineage: Eukaryota; Viridiplantae; Streptophyta; Magnoliopsida; Lamiales; Oleaceae.
AGAGAAACCAAACUUCUCCGCCCAUAAUAAUGUUCACCUAAAAUACAAUGCUUUAUCUUCAAAAAUAAAUACCCAUAACUCAAAACAAUUUCGUUUGUCCACACUCCACACACAAACAAACAUUUCGAAGCAGUCCAUUUUCUUUUUCAUUUUUCACACACACUUUUCGUACAUAUAGCUAAAAUAAACAUCUUACAUAUACCAUAACUCAUAAUUCAUCCUUAAAUCACAAGUUUUCAUUUCAUCAAACAAUUUUCAGCAGCUUUUCUCAUGGAGAUUUUCUGGUUUUUCAAAAUUUUCUUGACUUUCACCUUCUUUUUCUUGAUGGGAGAUCCAUUUUUCUCUCAUUCAUCUUCUUUGCCCGAGGGAAUCGCGAAGUCUGCAGCUGUACACCGCAAUUACACCGCCAUAUCAGAGUUUCGAGUACUCAACAGAAAACCUUUGAAGGAUUGCCCCGACCUGAACCCGUAUUUGCAAAUAAACACAAGCUCCAUUGCCAAGCUUUCUGAUGAUGGAUAUAUAACAGUAAAUGUUACAGGAGUUUUACUUCCUUCGGCUACUGAUUGGGUCGCAAUGAUUUCCCCAUCUCAUGCCGUGUAAGAUGAUUAUUUUCGUAUCUAAAUAAUCUGAUUCUACGCUUGAAAAAACGGUAAAUUUAAUCUGAUCUUGCAGUGUAACAGCCUGUUUAGAAAACUCAAUUCUUUAUAAGGAGACAGGAGAUUUUAGUAGUCUUCCUCUUCUCUGCCAUUAUCCUGUUAAGGUAAGUGCAUUCUACUUUUGCAAAACGUUUGAAGGAUUAUAAUAAUCACAGUUUAAUUAGCCUUGAGAUUAUUUUAUAUUUUACUGCGCGCAGCCAUUCUUUUAAUUUAUUUCUUGACAUGCCUGGUUCAUAAUGAUCAGAAAUCUGUUUAAGUAUCAAAUAAUUCAGAAACUGAGAGUUUCUUGAAAAAUUUGUCCUUGAUCCGAUAUUUACUCGACAUAGUAACAACAACAAUAACAAACUAAUGUCGAUCGACUUGGGUUAUUGCUAAAAUUUGCAGGCUCAAUAUUUAAGAAGUGAUCCAGAUUACUUAAGUUGCAAGAAGAAGGAAUGCAAGAAAAAAGUGAAUGGAAAAUGCGUGUUGAGAACAUGUAGUGCGUCUUUGUCAUUUCAUGUCAUUAAUAUUCGAACUGAUAUCGAAUUUGUGCUGUUUGCUGGUGGAUUUGUUGCGCCUUGCAUUUUGAGAAGAUCACAGCCACUCAGAUUUGCCAAUCCAAACAAGCCUUUAUAUGGACAUAUAUCGAGUACCGAUUCAACAGCAAAAUCGGUAUGGAAUGCCAUCUCUGAUCUCCAAUAUCCAUGCAUGUGGUUGAGAAUUAAUUAUUUUAUUUUUAUUUACAACAUUUUAGAGGAAAUAGUUCGACGAUUUUUUAUUUAUUUAUUUUUGAUAAUAUGUUAUUAAAAAGCGGAAGUUAUGAAUUUCAUAAAAUGUGUGUGACUGAAAAUUAUUUGAACGAAAAAAGUUUAAGAAAAAGUUGUAUCAAACAUGCCUUUAUUUAACCCCUAUUUGGUAUAGCUAAAAAUUAAUUUUUUGUAAAUUUUAAUAAAAGUUGAUGAAAUGUAUUGAAAAGUUUGAAUCCCUUAAAUUAUUUAAUUAAAAUAAAAUUUUAAUUUUCACCAUAAUUUUUCAAUUCCUUACUCCUGUAAGAAAUGGCACAAGGCUUUGUUGACUUUGCUAUCAUUAAUUGCCUUGUCCGCCCGGCAAGAUUAUCGUUCACAAGCAUCUGCAAUUUCCUCUUUUUAAUAAAUUAAACAGCUGUGAUGGGAUGGCAACAUAUUUACCUUCUUUAUGGGAUUAAAAUCAAAAUUUAUUGAUAAAAAUUAAUAAAAUGUAUGAUUGAAAAGUUGUGAAUCCUAUAAAAUAUAUUAUUAAAUCUAAUUAUUAAUUAUAAUUAUAAUUAUAAUUUUAAAUCCUAAUGAAUGGGGACUUAAAGAUCUACCACCAACUUAACUGAGCAAUUACUGUUGUGCAGAACAAAUAUUGAAUAUUCUCACCUUUUACUGAAUUAAGUAAUUAAUUCAGUGUACUCGUGGGAUUAAAAAGUCAGCAGCAGUUGACUGCAAAAUUUUGAGGUGUGAAAGAAGAAAAAACGUAGCAGUGCUUUCAAACGUAGGGCCACAUAAUAUUAGUGCAUGGGAAGUGAUAAAUAAUUAUAUAUUUAAUUAGGUAUAUUUUUUAUGCUGAUGAGAUUAGACAUUAUAAAGAAUAGAUUUUGUAAUGUUUUUUCCCAAAGUUUGAUGCAUUAUAAUUUUGACGUGUCAAAAUUUUAGUGAGACGCAUUUUUGCCUUUAAAAAAAACAACGAAAGAGACAACAAGAUAGAGCAACAAAUGUAGACUCGUCGUGAACGCAUUAACACCUGUAUUUGAUAUGAAUAUAUUUGGUAAGAUUUGAUAUGAAUAUAUGGAGAAUAUAAUGGAUUUUUCAAAAUUGUGAUAAUUGCAGAUGAGAGUAACAUGGGUGAGUGGAAACCAACAGCCUCAACAUGUUCAAUUUGGAAAUGGGAAAUCAGUUACCUCACUUGUUUCUACUUUUUCACAAAGUGAUAUGUGCAACAGUAAGUUUCUUAUUCUCCUCGUGCUUUUGCUUAAAGUAGCUUAAAACCGUAUAUCUUUGAGACUUUUAUAAACAACCAAAUGACUUGAUUGAACAUCGUUUUGUCUACCCAUUUGAGAAGACUAAUGUUAUUCGGCACAACUAAUGUUAUAGUUUUUUCCAUGAAUUCUCGAAGGGAUUGGCAUCUUCAAUCUAGAUUAAUGUUUUAUUCUAAAAUAUUGUUUCCUUUUUAUCGAAAAUAAGCUUCCUACUUACAAAGUCCUGCCAAGGAUUUUGGGUGGCAUGACCCUGGCUACAUUCAUUCAGCUGUAAUGACAGGACUCAACCCUUCAACCAAGUACCUCUACAGAUAUGGAAGGUAAAUUUUUGUUUCCAAGUGAAAAAUAAGAAGAGGGAAAAAGAAAGCCGAAAACAUUCUGCAGUAGGAAAAUAUUUUUAAUUUCGACUGGUAAAAAAUCGAAAAACUUAUUGCAUAUACUCAGACUUACAUGUAUUAUACAUAAUUUGAACAUAUAAUACAGUGAUUCAAGUGGAUGGAGUAAUUGGACAACAUUCAAAACACCGCCUGCUGGUGGAUCAGAUGAGCUUAAAUUUCUUGCAUUUGGUGACAUGGGCAAGGCUUCUCGUGAUGCUUCUACUGAACACUAUAUACAGGUAAUAUAUAAGUGUGGAUAUGUCUGUUACAGAAAAUAUGAAUACAAUGCAAUUAUGGCUAAAAAGGGCCUUAUUUUUGGGGAUAAAUAUAGCCAGGAUCACUAUCAGUCAUCGAAGCUAUGGCCGACGAACUAUCCUCCAGUGGAGUCGACGCAAUAUAUCAUAUUGGAGACAUAAGCUAUGCCACAGGUUUUCUAGUAGAAUGGGACUUUUUCCUUCACCAAAUUAAUCCAGUGGCCUCUAAAGUUUCUUACAUGACUGCAAUUGGGAAUCAUGAGAGGUAUGCUGUUCGGUUCAAAAUUGUGUAACUGUCACAUAUUUAAUGAGAAAAUGGUUCGACGCUGUUUAAGCUUUUAGACAAACUGAUAAAAAUUCGAGGUAUUAUCUUUCAGGGAUUUUGGAGACUCCGGAUCGGUUUAUUUUACUCCGGACUCUGGUGGUGAGUGUGGGGUACCUUAUGAGACAUAUUUUCCAAUGCCAGCAGUUGCAAAGGAUAAGCCAUGGUAUUCUAUAGAACAAGGGAGUGUUCACUUUACAGUAAUUUCAACAGAGCAUAAUUGGACACAAAACUCAGAACAGGUACAUAAAUAACCUUCUUUUACACUGUUUUGUGCCUCGUUUAGCAUAGUAGGUAAUGUAAUACUAGAAAGUAGAGUAAUGUCUAAUAAGUUUAUGUUGUCUAAUACCAGGUGUAUGUUUGAUAUUGAUUUUUCUCCUCAAAACAUUCAUUUUUUGACCAUUAUUUCACUAUUUCAGCCGUCAUUUUUGACUUCUUCUCUCACAAAUUAGACACAUUUUUCUCUCUAACAGUCAAAAAAUCAAUUUUCAAAAUCACUAUCGAACAAGCCCCAGCAACAAAACUUAGCCUUACAUCUUUUCCGUCUCAUGGAACAAAAUAAUAAUUGUUGCACUUAACUUCAUUGUGUCCUUGCACAGUAUGAAUGGAUGAAGAAGGACAUGGCUUCAGUUGAUCGAUCAAGAACUCCAUGGUUAAUAUUCACGGGGUAAUUUUAUAUUUUCAAGGCCACGGCCAAUAUCUUUUUAUUGCAUUUCGAUUAGCCAACUUUUAACUAAAACUCUGCUUGUCUUCUUUCAUGAGUAGGCUAGAUGUUUAAUCAACAAUAAACUAAAUGUUUUGCGUUUUUCCUAAACAAAUUUGGAUCAGUAACAAAUUAUCAUGAAUGAAAAUUCUUGUCAGUGACCACCGACAGUAGGUCGAUAUGUGAUUUAGAUGGAAUUAUCGACAAUGAUGUUGUUGGUGAUUGUUAAUAUAUUGUCAUUAGUGAUUGUCAAUGGACCGCUUAAUUCUUGAGUCGACUCUGAUUUAAAAGAUGCACGAAUAUGUUUUUUUUACUGCUCCGUUCAUUUCAUUGCCACAUUACUUAAAUCCAAUGCCAGUAACAGAAACAUGUACAAAUAAUCAAUUCAUUAAUUUUACAUGUCAAUAAAAUUAAUGAAUAUUGCGAAUUGACUACAGGCACAGGCCCAUGUAUUCCUCCAACGACGGAAACAUUAUUUUGCCAAGCGUCGACGACAAAUUCGUCCAAGCCGUGGAGCCAUUGCUACUAGCCAAUAAGGUAAAAGUUUCCAUCGAGAACACAAAUUUUAGUAAGUACUGGCUUCGUGAUUAAUUGUACUCACUAACAUAUAAAUGGAUCUACAGGUUGAUCUUGUUCUAUUUGGACACGUUCACAACUACGAAAGAACAUGUGCCGUUUAUAAGCAACAAUGCAAGGCAAUGCCAAAGAAAGAAAGAAAUGGAAUUGAUACAUAUGAUAAUACAAAGUAUAGUGCACCAGUUCAUGCUGUUAUUGGAAUGGCUGGCUUUAGCUUGGAUAAGUUCUCCAACAAGGUAAGUAGUUACAACCUCAAGCCCUCAUAGAGACUCGUCCCCCCACUCUCAUCGUCGUCUCAAGUAUCAAACUUGGAUCCCCUGUCAAUUUUUCUUGACCUUUGGGUUUCAAAUUCAAUUUUGUAGCUUGAGAUUUCUCUAUACGAUUUAUUAAAGAUGAUCUUAAAAGAAAUCCAUGUCUUGGGACACAAAUUCUACCGGACGUUAACUCAAAAAGAAAAAAAUGUCAAGAAAGAUAUACAAAUACUCGAGCCUACAAUGAGAAUCACAGUUGCAAUUUUUCAUGGAAAAUAGUAACACAUACUAGAAUCAUGGGGACGUUUUUUUGUUCGUGAUGGACAGGGGAAGCCAUGGAGUUUGGUUAGGAUUUCCGAGUUUGGAUACACAAGAGUGCAUGCAACAAAGAAAGAGCUAAAAGUUGAGGUCAGUUCAUGAAUCUUUAUCUGCUUUAAUUUUAAAAUUGGGUGAUGCAAUAAGAACAUCAAAUUGAGUUAAUUUCUUGACAUGUUUAUAUCAUUUUGCAGUAUGUAAAUUCAAAUACAAGAAACGUUGAAGAUAGCUUCCGAAUCAUCAAAAGUUGAAAAAUGAAAAAUAUAUAGGCAGGGAGAUUUGCUUUAUAAAUAUAUUGUAAUGAAAGAACAUUGGAAAUCUUUUAAGAGCACUUGUAUUUUCUAAAUAGCUUCUCUGAUUUUUAUUUUUGAAUCUAAACUGUCUUGGUCAGUUGAUUUCAUCCCAGUUUUUGAAGAACUGUUUUUAGACUAUGACCAAACCAGUUCCCAAGCUGACAUUUUUUCCAGUCAAACUCACCAGAUCAGGCUGAUUUUUAAAACAUUGGUAAAUGUACUAUGAAUAGGAGAAAGUAAUGGACAUGAUCUUAAGAAUUCUACUCUUAAGAACAUAAAAAUGCUUGCUCUAACCAGGGCCGGUCCUGGGCUGAGGCGAGUGAGGCCCGCGCCUCAGGCCCAGGACCAUAGGGGGCCUCCUGUUGGUCCAAUUAAUUUUUUUUUUUUUUUUUUUGUAAUAAAGAAACGAGGCCAGUUUAAACUGAAAAGCGAGAUUAUAUACAGCCCCAAGCCCUAACUCAAAAUACCUUCAAAGUUCAACCGCUGGGAUCUUCAAUCUUGGCUUCUCGUUCACUUGGCGAGCGUUAAAUAUAGCAGCAAUUUUGCAUUUACACGUUUUCAGACUACUACUCCAAAAAAGAGGAUUUUAGAGAGAGAUUAAUUUUCGGUUUCCGAUUCUCAUUACCGCCGAAUCGCCGAAUGCCGAUCAACGAACGCC